UAUUUGUCACUGGACGCGAGUCUGAACCAGCCAAGUAGCGUGAAGGAUGACUGCCCUAUGGGUUGUACACUUCUUUUAUAUGGGAAUAAAGUUUUCCACGUGUGGAAUUUUGUAUGUACCAUACGAAUAAGGAUCGGCUAACUCAGUGCCAGCAGCCGCGGUAAUACGGAGGAUCCGAGCGUUAUCCGGAUUUAUUGGGUUUAAAGGGAGCGUAGGUGGACAGUUAAGUCAGUUGUCAAAGUUUGCGGCUCAACCGUAAAAUUGCAGUUGAUACUGGCUGUCUUGAGUACAGUAGAGGUGGGCGAAAUUCGUGGUGUAGCGGUGAAAUGCUUAGAUAUCACGAAGAACUCCGAUUGCGAAGGCAGCUCACUGGACUGUUGACUGACACUGAGGCUCGAAAGUGUGGGUAUCAAACAG
RNAcentral lists this ribosomal RNA (417 nucleotides) under uncultured bacterium. Its description in RNAcentral is "bacterial SSU rRNA". It matches the Rfam family "Bacterial small subunit ribosomal RNA", at positions 362 to 775 of the family's 1533-position model. The record is from RNAcentral.